RNAcentral lists this ribosomal RNA (488 nucleotides) under uncultured bacterium. RNAcentral's name for it is "bacterial SSU rRNA". It matches the Rfam family "Bacterial small subunit ribosomal RNA", at positions 28 to 517 of the family's 1533-position model. The record is from RNAcentral.
GAUGAACGCUGGCGGCGUGCUUAACACAUGCAAGUCGAACGAAGCACUUUAUUAUGAUUUCUUCGGAAUGACGAUUUAGUGACUGAGUGGCGGACGGGUGAGUAACGCGUGGGUAACCUGCCUUAUACAGGGGGAUAACAGUUAGAAAUGACUGCUAAUACCGCAUAAGCGCACAGGAUUGCAUGAUCUAGUGUGAAAAACUCCGGUGGUAUAAGAUGGACCCGCGUCUGAUUAGCUGGUUGGUGAGGUAACGGCUUACCAAGGCGACGAUCAGUAGCCGACCUGAGAGGGUGACCGGCCACAUUGGGACUGAGACACGGCCCAAACUCCUACGGGAGGCAGCAGUGGGGAAUAUUGCACAAUGGGGGAAACCCUGAUGCAGCGACGCCGCGUGAGUGAAGAGUAUUCGGUAUGUAAAGCUCUAUCAGCAGGGAAGAAAGUGACGGUACCUGAAUAAGAAGCCCCGGCUAACUACGUGCCAGCAGCCG